GAUGAACGCUGGCGGCGUGCCUAAUACAUGCAAGUCGAGCGAACAGACGAGGAGCUUGCUCCUCUGACGUUAGCGGCGGACGGGUGAGUAACACGUGGAUAACCUACCUAUAAGACUGGGAUAACUUCGGGAAACCGGAGCUAAUACCGGAUAACAUGUUGAACCGCAUGGUUCAACAGUGAAAGACGGUUUUGCUGUCACUUAUAGAUGGAUCCGCGCCGCAUUAGCUAGUUGGUAAGGUAACGGCUUACCAAGGCAACGAUGCGUAGCCGACCUGAGAGGGUGAUCGGCCACACUGGAACUGAGACACGGUCCAGACUCCUACGGGAGGCAGCAGUAGGGAAUCUUCCGCAAUGGGCGAAAGCCUGACGGAGCAACGCCGCGUGAGUGAAGAAGGUCUGCGGAUCGUAAAACUCUGUUAUUAGGGAAGAACAAAUGUGUAAGUAACGAUGCACGUCUUGACGGUACCUAAUCAGAAAGCCACGGCUAACUACGU
RNAcentral lists this ribosomal RNA (496 nucleotides) under uncultured bacterium. RNAcentral describes it as "partial 16S ribosomal RNA". It matches the Rfam family "Bacterial small subunit ribosomal RNA", at positions 28 to 506 of the family's 1533-position model. The record is from RNAcentral.